AAACCCUAGCUUUGUCCUCUGACAUUUUUCCAACCACCCCCCGCCUCCUUUCUUCCUCUCAGCCGCAAGCAACACACAUCCACACACUCCUCCCUCAUCCCCAUCUCUCUCCCGCUCGACCCCCUCUCGCCGCCGCCACCAACGGAGCCCCGACCCAGGCGACCUCCGAUGGGAUCCCCUUGCUCCGCUCUUCCCCCCAUCCCGUGCUCCUUCCCACUCGCGCGCUCGAGCCGAACCCUACAUGCGCAUGCGCAUGCGCACCGGGGGCCUCACCAAUCCACGAGAUGUGGCGUAGCUGUGUGUCGUGAUGGCCGCAGCGUAGGCCCACACGGGUGGACGGACGGACGAAAGCAACGACGAGGGCGCGGGAGAGAACUGUUGGCCGCCCGGGGCCUCCAGCCACGGUGGUGGCGGCGGUGACGGGGUGCAUGUGUUCCGCCAUGCCUAGGAUUUUGCAGUUUAUCCCAAUUCGAUCUGAUCGGAGCACCUCUACCUCAUCCCCAACAUCGGGCCGCUACAGCCGUCAGCGAGCUGUCCGACUUCCCCCCCGCCACGCCCGAGGGCGAGGCGUGAGUGACAUCUGCCGCCGACCCGGUGGAUGCUUGGGUGAAGGAUUAUAGAUGCCCGUCGACCGCUUUCUUCUAUACCUGGUACGAGUAGAUUGAGCUCAAGCCUGCCUUCCUCGUGCCUCACGGCCAGCUGCAGUAUGAUAUAAUAAGUUGUGGGUGAACUGAACUACUCCGUGUGGUUUCGCUGUAGAGUGUUGGGAUGAUGAGGACCAGACUAGUACCAAAUUUACUCUUCUCUUCACGGAUGUGUAAUCCUCUCAAGGAUCUGAUAUGUUGCAGAAUAUAUAAAGAGGACAAGGGCCUCAUGAACAACCAAGGUGCAUGGUGCUCGCAAGCGAGAAACGGAGGUUGUUCGACAUCGGCUACAUAUACCACCAUUAUUCUGAUUUUAGAAGGCCUAGAAUCUGAGAAUCAGAAGCUGCAGCCCAAACAAAGGCCACCUUACUAUACUGGUUCCAAGUGCUUGAGUAGCACCUCUGAGAUAAGUCACUUGUGGUUAAUUAGUAGCUUUAUCGUUUGUGUUUGUGCAUUGUUUUUUCGUGGGCAUCAUUCAUGGUUGUCUAGUAGUCGACAUACUGUUAUUCCCUUAUCUUGUUAUGGAGCAAAUUCGCUAUUGUUGUUAUAUGCAAGAACUAGUGAGAAACUUGAAGAAAUUUUAGAAGUUGGAACAUAUAACUAGUUUGUUUGAACAAGGCUAAUUCACUCUAUUAUGUCAUUUCAGUCAGAUGAAAUGAAUUUGCCACGAAAUCUGUGUGAGAACUACUAAAGAAAUUGAACAAGUUUAGAAGUCAGAAAUAUAUGCCUAUUUGGCUUUUUAGUUCGUUUUAACAAAGUCGAUUCAUUCUACUCUAUUAUGUUAUUUCAGUUAGAUGAAGUUGCCAUGAAAUCUCUGGAGCUUGAUGGAUACAAAA
This is an RNA transcript of Hordeum vulgare subsp. vulgare (domesticated barley), 1480 nucleotides long. RefSeq lists it as uncharacterized. The transcript has 4 exons. Lineage: Eukaryota; Viridiplantae; Streptophyta; Magnoliopsida; Poales; Poaceae. The record is from RefSeq and is a predicted model, not a curated record.